This 253-nucleotide ribosomal RNA is filed under the name uncultured bacterium. Its description in RNAcentral is "partial 16S ribosomal RNA". It matches the Rfam family "Bacterial small subunit ribosomal RNA", at positions 524 to 776 of the family's 1533-position model. The record is from RNAcentral.
UACGUAGGGGGCAAGCGUUGUCCGGAUUUAUUGGGCGUAAAGAGCUCGUAGGCGGCUUGUCACGUCGGGUGUGAAAGCCCGGGGCUUAACCCCGGGUCUGCAUUCGAUACGGGCAGGCUAGAGUGUGGUAGGGGAGAUCGGAAUUCCUGGUGUAGCGGUGAAAUGCGCAGAUAUCAGGAGGAACACCGGUGGCGAAGGCGGGUCUCUGGGCCGUAACUGACGCUGAGGAGCGAAAGCAUGGGGAGCGAACAGG